Molecule: ribosomal RNA, 468 nt
Filed under: uncultured bacterium
Lineage: Bacteria
Description: partial 16S ribosomal RNA
Rfam family: Bacterial small subunit ribosomal RNA
Source: RNAcentral
GACGAACGCUGGCGGCGUGCUUAACACAUGCAAGUCGAACGGAAAGGCCCUGCUUUUGUGGGGUGCUCGAGUGGCGAACGGGUGAGUAACGCGUGAGUAACCUGCCCUUGACUUUGGGAUAACUUCAGGAAACUGGGGCUAAUACCGGAUAGGAGCUCCUGCUGCAUGGUGGGGGUUGGAAAGUUUCGGCGGUUGGGGAUGGACUCGCGGCUUAUCAGCUUGUUGGUGGGGUAGUGGCUUACCAAGGCUUUGACGGGUAGCCGGCCUGAGAGGGUGACCGGCCACAUUGGGACUGAGAUACGGCGCAGACUCCUACGGGAGGCAGCAGUGGGGAAUAUUGCACAAUGGGCGGGAGCCUGAUGCAGCAGCGCCGCGUGCGGGAUGACGGCCUUCGGGUUGUAAACCGCUUUCGCCUGUGACGAAGCGUGAGUGACGGUAAUGGGUAAAGAAGCACCGGCUAACUACGUG